AUGCCUUGGAGAUCACACCGGACCGCAGCAUGAUUGCUGCUGCAGGUUACCAGCACAUCCGCAUGUAUGAUCUCAACUCCAAUAACCCUAACCCCAUCAUCAGCUACGACGGCGUCAACAAGAACAUCGCGUCUGUGGGCUUCCACGAAGACGGCCGCUGGAUGUACACGGGCGGCGAGGACUGCACAGCCAGGAUCUGGGACCUCAGGUCCCGGAACCUGCAGUGCCAGCGGAUCUUCCAGGUGAACGCACCCAUUAACUGCGUGUGCCUGCACCCCAACCAGGCAGAGCUCAUCGUGGGUGACCAGAGCGGGGCUAUCCACAUCUGGGACUUGAAAACAGACCACAACGAGCAGCUGAUCCCUGAGCCCGAGGUCUCCAUCACGUCCGCCCACAUCGAUCCCGACGCCAGCUACAUGGCAGCUGUCAAUAGCACUUGCAUCACUUGUACCUCUUGCCCCCGGAUUUCCCUUCUGCUGGCCUUUGUCAUGCUGUCCCUCUAGCUGGUGCCCUUCUCCUGUCUACUUCCGUUGGCCAUCGGCAUCCUCCAGGAAGGG
This 557-nucleotide small RNA is filed under the name Pan troglodytes (chimpanzee). RNAcentral's name for it is "processed transcript". Lineage: Eukaryota; Metazoa; Chordata; Mammalia; Primates; Hominidae. The record is from RNAcentral.